Molecule: long non-coding RNA, 2336 nt
Filed under: Homo sapiens (human)
Lineage: Eukaryota; Metazoa; Chordata; Mammalia; Primates; Hominidae
Description: HSALNT0095068
Source: RNAcentral
GGGAGAGUGCCUAAAAAGCUGUCAUGCAGUAAGAAGCUGCUCUGUCAAGAGCCUGAGCAAGUGGACAAACAACUGUCCCAGGCUCACAGGGCAUGGAGUUGGCUGCCCCUCUCUGAAUCCUCCAUUACAGUGAACUAACACCACAGAGAGCUUCGGAAAGGUACCAAUUGCCUGUAUCUAGCCAACAGCGACUUGGCCUCUACCUUGGGGGUUGGUUGAUGUCCAUCCCAGCAGCACCUUCCAUGCCACUCCUAGGAGGGAGGUCCCACAGGUGCUUACACACUAGGACCAUGAAGAUCCCUACAUGACCUCCUCCACCCUGGAUGACGACUCAGUGAGUACAGAUGGGAAAAGGAAGGGAAGAUUUUAAACUACAAUUGACCCUUGAACAACACUGGGGUUAGGGGUGCCAACCCCCUGCUCCACACAGUCGAAAAUCUGCAUAACUUUUGACUUCCCAAAAAUUUUUAUUAAUAGCUACUGCUGACUAGAAGCAUUACUGAUAACAUAAACGGUCAGUCCAUAUUAGAUAACACAUAUUUAAUACCGUCAGUCAAAAUAAUACAUAUUUUAUAUGUUAUAUGUAUGAUAUAUGGUAUUCUUACAAAAAUAAGCUGGAGAAAAGAAAAUGUUAUUAAGAAAAUCAUGGUGGGGCAUGGUGGCUCACGCCAGUAAUCCCAGUACUUUGGGAGGCUGAGGUGGGUGGAUCACCUGCGGUCAAGAGUUUGAGACCAGUCUGGCCAAUAAGGCGAAACCCUGUCUCUACUAAAAACACAAAAAUUAGCCAGGCAACCUGGUAUGCGCCUGUAAUCCCAGCUACUCGGGAGGCUGAGGCAGGAGGAUUGCUUGAACCCGGAGGUGGAGGUUGCAGUGAGCUGAGAUCAUGCCACUGCACUCCAGUCUGGGUGACAGAGUGAGACUCCAUCUUAAAAAAAAAGAAAAAAAAAAAAAGAAAGAAAGAAAAUCAUAAGAGAAAAUACAUUUAUCAUUAAGUGGAACUGGAUCACCAUAAAGGCCUUCAUCCUUCUUGUUGUCUUCACAUUGAGUAGGCCGAGAAGGAAGAGAAAGAAAAGGAGUCAGUCUUACUGUCUCAGGGUUAUCACAGGUGGGAGGAAAUCCACAUAUAAGUAUCACAGGUGGGAGGAAAUCCACAUAUAAGUAGACCUUAACAAUUCAUACCCAUGUUGCUCAAGGGUCAACUAUAAUGUCCUUGGCUUGCUACAGAUAAACAUCCUCAGGACAGGAUUCUACACCUGGGCAGUGCUAGGGCAUAAACUGCCCUGGCUUCCAGGAGCUGACUGCCAGUAGUCUGCCGUGUUUGCCCAGAUGCACUUAUUGUUUCUCCAGCACCACAGCCCCAUAGCAGGACCACAUGGAGGAAUAGGCAAAGCCACCCUUUUCCCAAUGCCAGGGAAGCUGGGAUCAGAGAGACUAAGAGAACUCUCACACCAGGAAUAUCAGCAGUAACCAGGGCAGAAGCAGGAAACAGAGAACACAAUUCUAUUGUCAAACUCAUCCCAUAAGCACUAGAGGGCAUAGGUGAUGGUGGUUUUAAAUUGCACAAAGGAACACAUUCCUAUACUUGAUAGAGUUAAAAGCAGAGCUUAUUAACAUAAUUCUCCUACAUUUUAAUUUUGAAAAUCCCAUUUAAAGCUACAUCUGAUUUAUCAGUUAUUUUAAUUAAUUUUGUCUAUAUGCCACAGCAUUCUCAGGUUCCCACUCAAAUAUACAAUAGAUUCUUCCUGGUCUGUUUAAAAAUUUGGGGUAGUCAUGUCUCCCUUAGAGAGACAAAAUGUACUACAAAUUGUCUUUUACAAAGAGGGAAGGGGAAAAAGAGGUGAAAGUCAUAGCUACUGCAAAAACAUUUCUCCUUAGCAUGAAUUUGACCUUUAUCCUCAAUACUUGUUUUGGGAAUACUCUUAAAGGACACAUCUUAAACCUCCCCUUCUACUAUCUGAAGAGGACAGUAAAGAGCAAGAAAUCUCCAAAGUCAAGUACAAUCAAGCAUCCUAUCCUGCGAAGCCUACAAAUGAAAAUACUACCCUCUAUAUAUGGAGGCUGAAGAGCAAAGGCUUGCCCAAUGCCUCCAAGUCAGGAACUCCCAAUAGAAAUCCAGCAUGAAGAAGCAUCUGCUAACAGCAACCCUGAUGGGCAGAGGCCAAUGGUUCAUGCCUCACUUAGGAAACAGAUAUGAAAACUGCAGCCCUAGAGACAAUUGCCAAAGCCUUUUUAUAGCUUUCAUCAAGAUUUUACCAAAAACCACACAGAAGAGGUGUAAAAACAUCAUAAACAUUAAGUUUACUGAAUAUCUAUUGACAAUUGUGUUUAGAGCAUAA